UGCCCCUUCGUCUAACUGGCAGGACGCCCGACUCUGGAUCGGGUAAUCGAGGUUCGAAUCCUUGCGAGGCAGC
This 73-nucleotide transfer RNA is filed under the name Microbacterium phage Dismas. RNAcentral describes it as "tRNA-Gln". It matches the Rfam family "tRNA". From Rfam's summary of the family: Transfer RNA (tRNA) molecules are approximately 80 nucleotides in length. Their secondary structure includes four short double-helical elements and three loops (D, anti-codon, and T loops). Further hydrogen bonds mediate the characteristic L-shaped molecular structure. tRNAs have two regions of fundamental functional importance: the anti-codon, which is responsible for specific mRNA codon recognition, and the 3' end, to which the tRNAs corresponding amino acid is attached (by aminoacyl-tRNA synthetases). tRNAs cope with the degeneracy of the genetic code in two manners: having more than one tRNA (with a specific anti-codon) for a particular amino acid; and 'wobble' base-pairing, i.e. permitting non-standard base-pairing at the 3rd anti-codon position. The record is from RNAcentral. RNAcentral also lists the same sequence under 3 other names. Lineage: Duplodnaviria; Heunggongvirae; Uroviricota; Caudoviricetes.